This 450-nucleotide ribosomal RNA is filed under the name uncultured bacterium. RNAcentral describes it as "partial 16S ribosomal RNA". It matches the Rfam family "Bacterial small subunit ribosomal RNA", at positions 338 to 795 of the family's 1533-position model. The record is from RNAcentral.
CCUACGGGGGGCUGCAGUGGGGAAUUUUGGACAAUGGGCGCAAGCCUGAUCCAGCCAUGCCGCGUGCGGGAAAAAGGCCUUCGGGUUGUAAACCGCUUUUGUCAGGGAAGAAACGGUUUGGGCUAAUACCUCGAACUAAUGACGGUACCUGAAGAAUAAGCACCGGCUAACUACGUGCCAGCAGCCGCGGUAAUACGUAGGGUGCAAGCGUUAAUCGGAAUUACUGGGGGUGAAUCGUCCGCAGGCGGUUGAAAUCCCCGGGCUCAACCUGGGAACUGCAGUUGUGACUGCAUGACUUGAGUACGGUAGAGGGGGAUGGAAUUCCGCGUGUAGCAGUGAAAUGCGUAGAUAUGCGGAGGAACACCGAUGGCGAAGGCAAUCCCCUGGACCUGUACUGACGCUCAGGCACGAAAGCGUGGGGAGCAAACAGGAUUAGAUACCCCUGUAGUC